UCAAACUUGGUCAUUUAGAGGAAGUAAAAGUCGUAACAAGGUUUCCGUAGGUGAACCUGCGGAAGGAUCAUUAGAAAGAAAAAAAGAUCGACCUCGGAAACGUGGACGAUCAAAUCCAUAUCCACCUUGUGUGCACUCAUUGACCGUUCGCUUUGGCAGGAGGAGUCUUCGAUCGCCGAUCGAAGGCGCGAGGCCUUUUCCCCUUCUCCGGGAGAUUGGCAUAUCUCGGCCUGCCAGAGUUUUUUUUCUCGAACUCACGCUUCUCUUGAACCUUUUGGACUGAACCCUCGUCUCGAUUCUUUUGCAAUCGGUCGAAUCAAAUACAACUUUCAACAACGGAUCUCUUGGCUCUCGCAUCGAUGAAGAACGCAGC
Molecule: unclassified non-coding RNA, 373 nt
Filed under: uncultured fungus
Lineage: Eukaryota; Fungi
Description: partial contains small subunit ribosomal RNA, internal transcribed spacer 1, and 5.8S ribosomal RNA
Rfam family: Eukaryotic small subunit ribosomal RNA (bases 1-73)
Source: RNAcentral